Long non-coding RNA from Salvia splendens (bonfire salvia), 965 nucleotides. RefSeq lists it as uncharacterized. The record is from RefSeq and is a predicted model, not a curated record. NCBI's taxonomy places the organism in Eukaryota, Viridiplantae, Streptophyta, Magnoliopsida, Lamiales, Lamiaceae. The transcript is spliced from 2 exons.
GGGCCAUCACACUUUUUCUUUAUUGGGCCCUCCUCCCUAAAUGCAAAUGAGGCCUGCCCUUAAAAAAAUGGGAUCAUUACUAUGCUAAAUAAACUUGGGCCGCUGCGAAUAAAAUAAUUUAGGACCACUCCGUUUCUUUUUAUUUAAAUGGGCCACGUUUUUUUUAAGAAUGGGCCACUGCCCUAAUAAAUUAUGGAGCCAUGAAAUAUAACACAACAGCUUCUACUCAUUUUCUUACUCUCGUCAUGAAUUGUGGAAAUGAUAUGUCAUGAAGGAGUGAAAUUAGAUGGUGCUACUUAUACACUGAUACCAAGUUUGUUGGGAUUUCUCAGUGAUUUGGGGCAGAGGCAAUCUGCCAUUUUUUUGAUUUCUUUGCUGAAAAUGUUGACUAUUUGUGAGAGUACAUGAGAGUGUACUCGUGAGACAUUAAAUGGGGCUGCCAUACUGCUUUGUUUCUCUUCUUGCAGCAACUUUUUUUUUGAUGCUGCAGCAAUUUAACUGCAAUAUUGGUGGUGAUUUUGCAGGUGUACAACAAAGUAUGUAGGGCUGUUAAGUGGUAAUCUGCAGAGCUGCUGUAGCUGAAAAAGGGCAGGCGUUGCAGGCUGAAAAGAGGGCUGAUCUUGUCCUACCAGCCUUUGGUUAAGGCUGGGGAGAGUGCAGGAGUUGCAGCCCUCCAUCCUCCCUAUUUUGGCAACUUUUAGUCUUCCUCAAAAAGAGAUGAAGAAGUAGUUGGCUGGAAUACGGCCUCUCACAUCACGGUUCGUUGCUCUUGGCCCGAAGGCCGAUCGAAGACUAGGUUGUGGUGCGAUGUGCCUUGGCUCGGGAAGACUCAAGCAUUAGCACUUAAUAUUCCUUGCGUUGUCUUCCUUCCUUUUCAUCAUUGUACACUUGUAAGCUAGAACGUAGUUCGGGCUGUAAAACUUUGUAUUUUAUCCGCUUAAGAAAUAAAUAGACACAUUCCCUUU